RNAcentral lists this ribosomal RNA (494 nucleotides) under uncultured bacterium. RNAcentral describes it as "bacterial SSU rRNA". It matches the Rfam family "Bacterial small subunit ribosomal RNA", at positions 899 to 1397 of the family's 1533-position model. The record is from RNAcentral.
ACUCAAAUGAAUAGACGGGGGCCCGCACAAGCAGUGGAGUAUGUGGUUUAAUUCGAAGCAACGCGAAGAACCUUACCAGGGCUUGACAUCCCUUGAAAGCUGUAGAGAUACAGUUUCUCUUCGGAGCAAGGAGACAGGUGGUGCAUGGUUGUCGUCAGCUCGUGUCGUGAGAUGUUGGGUUAAGUCCCGCAACGAGCGCAACCCCUGUUGUUAGUUGCCAUCAUUAAGUUGGGCACUCUAGCGAGACUGCCGGUGACAAAUCGGAGGAAGGUGGGGACGACGUCAAAUCAUCAUGCCCCUUAUGUCCUGGGCUACACACGUACUACAAUGGCUGUUACAGAGGGAAGCUAACCCGCGAGGGGGAGCAAACCCCUAAAAGCAGCCCCAGUUCAGAUUGCAGGCUGAAACUCGCCUGCAUGAAGUCGGAAUUGCUAGUAAUGGCAGGUCAGCAUACUGCCGUGAAUACGUUCCCGGGCCUUGUACACACCGCCCGU